RNAcentral lists this transfer RNA (58 nucleotides) under Wadicosa fidelis. Its description in RNAcentral is "tRNA-Trp". The record is from RNAcentral. Lineage: Eukaryota; Metazoa; Arthropoda; Arachnida; Araneae; Lycosidae.
AGUUUAUUAAGAUAAUAAUUCUAUUAGCUUUCAAGGUUAAAAGUGUAUAUUUAAAAUA